UUCUGAGCUGCUACAAUCUGCCAGGCACCAAGCUCAACCAUCUCUCGUGUGUGACCUCGGGACUUUUUCCUCACAUAGAAGCCCAGAGAGGUUGUGCAAUGUCACCCAGAGGUCCUCUUCAAGACCCAUGAAAAGCUGCCUCAGACAGGAAUUUACAGUCACAAGAAGGGUGCUUAAAGACAGGAUUCUCCAAGUCUGUGUCAGGCAAGGCUGAACAAAACCCCAGAGCCAAUGCUUUGAAAGGUGAAGAGGUCAAGCUGCAGUGUGGUGGUAUGCGUGCAUACCUGUUACCCCAGAACUGGGGAGGCACAAGUAGGAAUGCUGGGAGUUGGAGGCAAGCCUGGACUGCAUGGUGAGACCCAGAUUCAAAAGCAAAACAAAACAGAACAAGGCAAAACACGGACACCUGCUGAAAAGGCGCUUAGACUUCCUCCCUCAUCCCUGGCCCCCUACUCCUCCGUCCCCACACAGGCUUUGCUUACAAAAGGUUCCUUCAGACUCCAUCAUAGGUCUCCUCUAGACCAGGUGGCCUCUGAACUCCCUAUGUAGCUGAGGAUAACCUAAACCUCUAAUCCUCCUGCCUCCAUCUCCCAAGUGAUGCUUGACAGCGUACAACACCCAGCUUUGACUUAUGCAGUGCUGGGGAUGAAACCCAGGACUUUGCCCAUGCUAAGCAAGCACCCUAUCAAUUGAGCUAUCUCCCCAGCACCCUCCAGGGUCAUUUUAGGAUUCCUGAUCUCUGCAGUGCAAACAGCUGCCCCACUCUCUUACUGUUGUGUCCCGGCUAUAGGAGUCAAUCUCCUGCCUCACAGACUCUCAGACGUGCAGAUCCCGAAGUGCCCACCACUCUUCAAGAUAGUCACUCACCCAUGAGUUCCCGAUUCUUGCUCAGUGUCUCCUCACUCAUACCAGUCUGUUCAUCUACCCUGUUGCUGAGACAUUUCUUCUCUGGUAUUGGAACUGGAUUCAGACUUCUUUGGGAUUCCAAUUUAGACUGAAGACCAGAAGCUCUCCAGGAACCCUCCAGACCUCCAGCACCAGAUUGGGACUGCAGAGACAUUCAGUCUUUAUUGCUGGGCUGCCUCGACCUGCCAGCUUCUGAAUAAUGUCAUAUAGACAUAAUAAUGACAUAUUAUCUAUUAAGCUUAGACUUUAGCUGGCCACCUCUCAGCCAUCUCACCUCAUUUAGGUUAACCUGACUAUUCUAUUCCACAUCCUGGCACAUGACCUGUUACCUGUCUCUCACAUACUCAGUCUUGGCACCUGUUCCUUCUGUCUGCUGUGUCCAGUUGGUGACUCUCAAGCCUCUCAGUUCUUCCCACACUUCCCACUUCCGUCCGGAUGUUCUGCCUUUCCUUGCCGGUUUGCCUUCAGCUCUUUAUUAAGCCCGUCAGAAGGUGAUGGGGAAGAAUGUUUACAAAAUACUCAGGUAGGUGAUGUUCCAAUAAACAUAACAAUACGAAGGUCCUGGCAGACAGUACUAAACUCUCUGCUGGUACCUAAGUUAACAUUUGAAUAAUACAAAGACAACCUUUACACAGUGCACAAAAAGAUUAUCCCAAGUGUUGACUGAACAACUAUCAGAUUCCUGGCCUUUCCACCAGGAAGACAGCCAGUUUUGGACUAUAGAGGCCACCACCUGUAAGCUACUCUAAUAAGGCGUGUGUGUGUGUGUGUGUGUGUGUGUGUGUGUGUGUGUGUGUUCACUCAUCCUACCAGUUCUGCUCUUUUAGAGAACCCUAGUACAGCCCUACUCUGAGUUACUCUACAUUGUAUAAAACAGUGUUUUUAUUUUUUAUUUUUUUGACUGUGCCAUGCUCCAGGAGACUCUUUUACGAGGCGCUUCUGACUCUAUUUUGAGAACCCAGGAACGGUCUCAUCUGUCGGACACAUUUCAUCCAGCACAGACUGAUAUGUGAUUUAUUCCUGAGAGCAGAAAGGAUCUGCCCCAUAAGUCUACUUGGCCUUUCUCUUUGCAUGUGGACUCGGCUGUUUCGCUGUCAACCCUGAUUCCACAGCCUCUGCUGUGGCUCUCUCAUGACUCCUGCUGUGAUUCAUUAUCUUGUCACUGUGGACUCUCAGCCUGAAGUAGAAUAAGGCAGAACAGACCAGCUGUUAGCUGCCAGUUUUUUGCUUUAUUUAGUGACUUACUUAAAGCACGGCCUGCACUGCUUAUUUGCCAGGGAUGAUUUCACUCUCGGCCCAGAGCAGAAUGAUCUGGAUAAACCGCUGAAGCAAUGGGUCACCGUCCUUAACAACCUGCUGACUGCCUUGAACACUUCUGUAAAUUCUCGCUUGCUUGCCUGCCCCACCUUGUGGUUUUAGAGCAUAAAAUGAGAACACAAACUGGACCCUGGAUUGAAGUCUUUCUGGAGCUUCUAGUGGCCAAGGUGGCAGUAAGACACUGGACUGUAGCCUCUGAGUAGAAAUGAUGAGACUAAGUAAGGAGCUCCUGGGGACAGGCAGGAAUGCAAGCUUGACACUCCCCCCCCCCCCCCCCCAGGAAACUGCAUCUGAAGCCCCGAUGGGAGACUGAGGUGGCGCUGGUCUCCAAGGAGAAUCAGACAAAUGUAUACCUUCUGAAUGCUUGUGAUGCUCCCACAGCUCUGUGGCUACAGGAUCUGACUAGGCUCCAACUUGUAGAUCUACUGUGGUCAUUUCAACUAAAUGGGCACUUACCUUCCAUGAUAGGAGGUGAUUAGGUAUGGGGUUAUAUGAGUGACCCUUGAGCUAAGACCUCUUUUUUCUUUUUCUUUUUUUUCUUUUUCUUUUUCUUUUUCUUUUUUCUUUUA
Long non-coding RNA from Mus musculus (house mouse), 2792 nucleotides. RefSeq annotates it as predicted gene, 30369. The transcript is spliced from 5 exons. Lineage: Eukaryota; Metazoa; Chordata; Mammalia; Rodentia; Muridae. The record is from RefSeq and is a predicted model, not a curated record.